Molecule: ribosomal RNA, 72 nt
Filed under: Serratia liquefaciens
Lineage: Bacteria; Pseudomonadati; Pseudomonadota; Gammaproteobacteria; Enterobacterales; Yersiniaceae
Also listed under: 1 other name
Description: partial 16S ribosomal RNA
Rfam family: Bacterial small subunit ribosomal RNA (bases 9-72)
Source: RNAcentral
CAAGCUUUUAAUUGAAGAGUUUGAUCAUGGCUCAGAUUGAACGCUGGCGGCAGGCCUAACACAUGCAAGUCG